Molecule: ribosomal RNA, 886 nt
Filed under: uncultured bacterium
Lineage: Bacteria
Description: bacterial SSU rRNA
Rfam family: Bacterial small subunit ribosomal RNA
Source: RNAcentral
GAGUUUGAUCCUGGCUCAGGACGAACGCUGGCGGCGUGCCUAAUACAUGCAAGUCGAGCGGAGAUUUGAAAAGCUUGCUUUUCAAAUCUUAGCGGCGGACGGGUGAGUAACACGUGGGCAACCUGCCCUUGAGACGGGGAUAACUCCGGGAAACCGGAGCUAAUACCGGAUAACACAUAUCUUCGCAUGAAGAUAUGUUAGAAGGUGGCUUUUAGCUAUCACUCAAGGAUGGGCCCGCGGCGCAUUAGCUAGUUGGUGAGGUAACGGCUCACCAAGGCGACGAUGCGUAGCCGACCUGAGAGGGUGAUCGGCCACACUGGGACUGAGACACGGCCCAGACUCCUACGGGAGGCAGCAGUAGGGAAUCUUCCGCAAUGGACGAAAGUCUGACGGAGCAACGCCGCGUGAGUGAUGAAGGUUUUCGGAUCGUAAAGCUCUGUUGUUAGGGAAGAACAAGUACCUGUUGAAUAAGCAGGUACCUUGACGGUACCUAACCAGAAAGCCACGGCUAACUACGUGCCAGCAGCCGCGGUAAUACGUAGGUGGCAAGCGUUGUCCGGAAUUAUUGGGCGUAAAGCGCGCGCAGGCGGUUCCUUAAGUCUGAUGUGAAAGCCCACGGCUCAACCGUGGAGGGUCAUUGGAAACUGGGGAACUUGAGUGCAGAAGAGGAGAGCGGAAUUCCACGUGUAGCGGUGAAAUGCGUAGAGAUGUGGAGGAACACCAGUGGCGAAGGCGGCUCUCUGGUCUGUAACUGACGCUGAGGCGCGAAAGCGUGGGGAGCGAACAGGAUUAGAUACCCUGGUAGUCCACGCCGUAAACGAUGAGUGCUAAGUGUUAGAGGGUUUCCGCCCUUUAGUGCUGCAGCAAACGCAUUAAGCACUCCGCC